RNAcentral lists this ribosomal RNA (397 nucleotides) under uncultured bacterium. Its description in RNAcentral is "bacterial SSU rRNA". It matches the Rfam family "Bacterial small subunit ribosomal RNA", at positions 28 to 429 of the family's 1533-position model. The record is from RNAcentral.
GACGAACGCUGGCGGCGUGCUUAACACAUGCAAGUCGAGCGGUAAGGCCCUUUCGGGGUACGACGAGCGGCGAACGGGUGAGUAACACGUGGGUGACCUGCCCUUAGCUCUGGGAUAAGCCUGGGAAACUGGGUCUAAUACCGGAUAUGACUCCAUGACGCAUGUUGUGGGGUGGAAAGCCUUGUGCGGCUAGGGAUGGGCCCGCGGCCUAUCAGCUUGUUGGUGGGGUGAUGGCCUACCAAGGCGACGACGGGUAGCCGGCCUGAGAGGGCGACCGGCCACACUGGGACUGAGGCACGGCCCAGACUCCUACGGGAGGCAGCAGUGGGGAAUCUUGCGCAAUGGGCGAAAGCCUGACGCAGCGACGCCGCGUGGGGAUGACGGCCUCGGUUGUAAC